RNAcentral lists this ribosomal RNA (1029 nucleotides) under Akanthomyces tuberculatus. Its description in RNAcentral is "SSU rRNA". It matches the Rfam family "Eukaryotic small subunit ribosomal RNA", at positions 71 to 1111 of the family's 1831-position model. The record is from RNAcentral. Lineage: Eukaryota; Fungi; Ascomycota; Sordariomycetes; Hypocreales; Cordycipitaceae.
CAAUUAUACAGCGAAACUGCGAAUGGCUCAUUAUAUAAGUUAUCGUUUAUUUGAUAGUACCUUACUACUUGGAUAACCGUGGUAAUUCUAGAGCUAAUACAUGCUAAAAAUCCCGACUCUGGAAGGGAUGUAUUUAUUAGAUUAAAAACCAAUGCCCUCUGGGCUCCUUGGUGAUUCAUGAUAACUUUUCGAAUCGCAUGGCCUUGCGCCGGCGAUGGUUCAUUCAAAUUUCUUCCCUAUCAACUUUCGAUGUUUGGGUAUUGGCCAAACAUGGUCGCAACGGGUAACGGAGGGUUAGGGCUCGACCCCGGAGAAGGAGCCUGAGAAACGGCUACUACAUCCAAGGAAGGCAGCAGGCGCGCAAAUUACCCAAUCCCGAUUCGGGGAGGUAGUGACAAUAAAUACUGAUACAGGGCUCUUUUGGGUCUUGUAAUUGGAAUGAGUACAAUUUAAAUCCCUUAACGAGGAACAAUUGGAGGGCAAGUCUGGUGCCAGCAGCCGCGGUAAUUCCAGCUCCAAUAGCGUAUAUUAAAGUUGUUGUGGUUAAAAAGCUCGUAGUUGAACCUUGGGCCUGGCUGGCCGGUCCGCCUCACCGCGUGCACUGGUCCGGCCGGGCCUUUCCCUCUGUGGAACCCCAUGCCCUUCACUGGGUGUGGCGGGGAAACAGGACUUUUACUUUGAAAAAAUUAGAGUGCUCCAGGCAGGCCUAUGCUCGAAUACAUUAGCAUGGAAUAAUGAAAUAGGACGCGUGGUUCUAUUUUGUUGGUUUCUAGGACCGCCGUAAUGAUUAAUAGGGACAGUCGGGGGCAUCAGUAUUCAAUUGUCAGAGGUGAAAUUCUUGGAUUUAUUGAAGACUAACUACUGCGAAAGCAUUUGCCAAGGAUGUUUUCAUUAAUCAGGAACGAAAGUUAGGGGAUCGAAGACGAUCAGAUACCGUCGUAGUCUUAACCAUAAACUAUGCCGACUAGGGAUCGGACGAUGUUAUUUUUUGACGCGUUCGGCACCUUACGAGAAAUCAAAGUGCUUGGG